GAAGCAACAUCCGCUUCGUCUGCUGUCCCCAUUGGUUUAACAGCUGCCAAUUGCUCGUAUGAACUCUCACCCUCAGGCGGUUUCCGCCAGUAACCGCUAGGGUCCUGCCCUCUAGUCUGGCCCUCGGAUACCGAGUUCGGGCUGGCCGGUUGGUCCCCUUGGGACCGUGGGACUGAAGUCUUUCUCCUUUACUCAUCGCCCUCCGCUCCUCUGUACCUCAUCCCAAAGCAGGAAGCGAAAUUUUCUCUUGUUGGAUCCUAUCCCAUCCCAAGGAGCUCGGCCUCAUCGUAGAUGCUGUGAUCACUUUAGAACACAUUUCUCGGCCCUUGGUGGUCACUACCGGUAUUUGAGAGUGCGAGUUUCAAGGGCUUUUGUUAUUCACCAGCAGCAACUCUUGAGCUGAGGCCGGCUCUCCAGCUCUGUCUGGCCGCAAGUCGUGGCUCCUCUCAGCCAGUCCGGUCUUCUUUGCACAGUGUCUGCUUUAUUUGUCCUUUUCGUUUCUUUUCAAAUUGACCUGCCCCUCGGUAUGUCCCAGGGCCAAAUAUUGCCUCCUCGCCUUUAGUCUCCCACUCUACUGUGGCAACUCACUCUUGAAAAUUUAUUUGUCACUACUCCAACCCUGGGUUAGAACAUUUUUUUCUAACUUCCCACCAUUUCCCUUUGUGCCUCGGGUUAUUUGCAAAUCCUUCCUCGUCCAUUCGUGAUGCCUUUCUAUAUUAUUCCUGGAAAGGGCUGAUGUACUAAAAGCACUGGACUGUAAUGCUUUGUUCUUGUAUAUAAUACUGUAAUGUUUUGUUCUUGUAUAAUACCCUAUUACAGAUACAAUAAUAGAAGCUACAAUUUAAGUUUACUGUGUGCCACACUAUUCUUCAUGUGUCAUUUGCUCCUCAGUUUGGUUCUUUGUAGCUAUUUCCCAUUUUCCAGAUGAGAAUAUUGAGACCAAAGAUGAUUUAACUAGAUCAGUCACAGAUCUGGUCUGGUUCGUGAUGGUGUUAAGUUUGAUAUCCAGGUUGCCAAUGCUUUGAACAUUUUUUUUCCUAAAAACUCAUUCAAUAAGUAUUUUUGAAAGACCUACUUUGGUCUUUGGUCAGAGGCCAAAGCCCUGAUACAAAGUAUUUCGAGACGCUUGCAUCAGAUGCUCAGGACAUUAUCAUACUCAGGAACUGGUCCCUUUAGUAUUCCUGUUAAAGUUAUUGUUGAGAUUCAUAGGUAUGAUGAUCGGGUAUACCUGAUUCACUGAGAUGAGGAAAACCUAUGAGUCAGGACUCGAAAAUUUUCCUUUCUGGUCCUCAAAGUUGUACUAGUGAUUCAGAGUUGACUGCACUCUUACUCUAGAGAUUGCAUCAUUUAUCUCUUCUAACAGGGCUUGUAAUGCUGCAGCAACACUGACCCUUCUUUGGGUUGCAUCAGUCUGGUAUCAAGAUGGCAAUCAUCAUUUGACUGUUAUGUUUUUGUGUCAUUUCAAGCAAACUUUCUGCAUGUACUACAGUCCAUUUCCAUUAAAUAAAAUUCUGUUUCACCCUUAACCUUGAUUGAUGACAUCCACUUUUGGUCUGUUAUGGAUUGAGAACCGGUGGUCAACACCAGCUGGAUUACAUCAGCAUGCAUUGAGUGAAGAUGCUCCACCUGUGGAGGGUUGCCAGGAUAACUAAGUGGAGAAGAAGGGAGAUGUUGAGAGCUGAAGCGUUAAGGAGGGUUUGUGGGUUCUCCUGCGAGUUGCUCUCUGAGCUGUUAGUUCUGGAGAAGCUUGGGUCCUCGAGCAUUGAUUCCUGGCUCCGGAGGGGAAGACAUGUGCUGCUUGGUCUCUAGGAUGAACUUGUCACCCUGCUUCCUGGCACGUACCCAACUGUGCUUGUCGGGGCCUCCAUGUCACUGAGAACAGCUAUGGUGCCUUUCAGGAUAGCCCUGGUCUUUUUUGUGAGUGUGACUUCUCAGCUCCAGUGUAGAACCCUCAUCCCACUAGCACAGCUCCUUCAUUCUGCUGGCAUAGACUUUCUGGUUUCCACCGCUGACCCUUGGGUCUUCCCAGCACGGAUCCAUAAAAGAGACUGGCAUGAGUCCUUCUUGUGGGCUCUGGCCCUCCAGUUGGACUUGUGGGAGGCAUUGUCCUGAGGGGUUUUUAUUUGGACUCAUGUGGGACAUUGCCGUGGGGUUUAGGCUCUUGACUAAAUAAUCUAUGUCUUUGGUGUUCUGGAUAGAUUUCCUGCAUUUUCCUGUGUUAACUUUCCUGUGUUAAUCCUGUAUUAACUUUUAUAAUAUUUUAUAAUAUUAUAAAAAUAUUAUAAACUCCA
Cavia porcellus (domestic guinea pig) is the source of this 2291-nucleotide long non-coding RNA. RefSeq lists it as uncharacterized. The transcript is spliced from 2 exons. NCBI's taxonomy places the organism in Eukaryota, Metazoa, Chordata, Mammalia, Rodentia, Caviidae. The record is from RefSeq and is a predicted model, not a curated record.